AACGAACGCUGGCGGCAUGCCUAACACAUGCAAGUCGAACGAAGGCUUCGGCCUUAGUGGCGCACGGGUGCGUAACGCGUGGGAAUCUGCCCUUUGGUUCGGAAUAACAGCUGGAAACGGCUGCUCAUACCGGAUGAUGACGAAAGUCCAAAGAUUUAUCGCGAGAGGAUGAGCCCGCGUUGGAUUAGGGAGUUGGUGGGGUAAAGGCCUACCAAGCCGACGAUCCAUAGCUGGUCUGUGAGGAUGAUCCGCCACACUGGGACUGAGGCACGGCCCAGACUCCGACGGAAGAGAGCAGUGGGGAAUAUUAGACGCGGGACGCUAGCCUGAUCCAGCAAUGUCGGGUAAGAGAGGAAGGCCGUAGGAUUGUAAAGCUCUUUUACCCGAGGAGAGAAUGACGGUAACGGGAAAAGAAGCCCCGGCUAACUCCGUG
RNAcentral lists this ribosomal RNA (433 nucleotides) under uncultured bacterium. Its description in RNAcentral is "partial 16S ribosomal RNA". It matches the Rfam family "Bacterial small subunit ribosomal RNA", at positions 29 to 507 of the family's 1533-position model. The record is from RNAcentral.